GGGUCAGGAGGUUGGUCGUGCCACCGGUACGUACUGGUCUCACUGAUUCCUCCUUCCUGAAGAACCGUAAUGCCAUUAAUUUGGUGUUGCGGGGAAACAGGACUGUUACUUUGAAAAAAUUAUAGUGUUUAAAGCAAGCUAACGCUUGAAUACAUUAGCAUGGAAUAAUGAAAUAGGACGAUCGAUCCUAUUUUUUUGGUUUCUAGGAUUGACGUA
RNAcentral lists this ribosomal RNA (216 nucleotides) under Glomeromycotina sp. RNAcentral describes it as "partial small subunit ribosomal RNA". The stretch from base 40 to 216 matches the Rfam family "Eukaryotic small subunit ribosomal RNA", at positions 686 to 864 of the family's 1831-position model. Lineage: Eukaryota; Fungi; Glomeromycota. The record is from RNAcentral.